AAAACUUACCAGGUCAAGACAUGGGCGUGAUUGACAGGCUAAUGACUUUUCUCGAUUCCAUGGAUGGUGGUGCAUGGUCGCACUUAGUUGGUGCAGUGAUUUGUCAGGUUUAUUCCGGUAACGAACGAGACCUCGGCCUUGUAAAUAGCUAUGCUGCUUACAGGGACAUUGGCGGCUACGCCAAGGAAGCUCGAGGCAAUUGCAGAUCUGGAAUGCCCUUAGAUGUCCUGGGUCGCACGCGUGCUACAAUGACGCCACGAACGAGCUUGCGUGAUGAAAGUUACGCAUAAUCAGCAGUCGGCGUCUUAAGGGAUAGUCUCUUGUAACUGUGGGACUCCAACUAGGAAUGUCUCGUAAGCACAAGUCAACAUCUUGUGUUGAUUACGUCCCUGCUCUUUGUACACACCGCCCGUCGCUCCUACCGAUCGAGUGUUUAGGUGAAUUUGAUGGACGUAAGGAAGUCAAAUAAACCUGAGCACUAGAGAAGAGAAGUCGAGAUC
RNAcentral lists this ribosomal RNA (500 nucleotides) under uncultured Myrionecta. RNAcentral describes it as "bacterial SSU rRNA". It matches the Rfam family "Eukaryotic small subunit ribosomal RNA", at positions 1210 to 1796 of the family's 1831-position model. The record is from RNAcentral. Lineage: Eukaryota; Ciliophora; Litostomatea; Cyclotrichida; Mesodiniidae.